ACCCCGCGGCCCCCGCCGUCGCCCCUCAAGCCUCCCCCGCCGACGCCGCCGCAAGCAGGAACGCGCGCCCGUCGCACCUCCCCCGUCGCGCCUCCCCCGCCGACGCCGCCGCAAGCAGGAACGGGCGCCCGUCGCGUCUCCCCCGCCGACGCCACCGAGAGAAGGAACGCGCGCCUGCGCCGUCGUGCCCCUCGAAGUCGCCUCUGGCGCGCUGCGGGGAUCUGCACCAUCGCGGUGCCCGAUUUGCGUGCGGAUCCUCCACCACUCCCCACCCCGGUCUAUGGGCGGACGGGCAGAUCGAUCCGGCGGAGCAACGCGUGGACCUUUAGACGCGCCGAGGUGCGACCCCCCUCCCCCUUCGCUGAUUUGCCUCCAGCCUCCCCCGCCCACGCCACCAACGCGGGGUCGUGCCUCCCCGCUCCGGCAUCCCCGCCGUGCCUCACCGCCGACGUCCUCGCGGGACCUCACAGCUGCUGGGCUUCCGGGCUCUCUGCCGUGCUUGCCGACGCCUUCUCAAACUCCAACGAGCCGGCGCCCUCGAAGUGGACGGGGACACCCCCGAUCCGGUGCCUCCACGACGAUUCACUCUGAUCCGUGGCCCCCCGUCGUCUUCCCCGAAUUCGGCGUUGCCCACGGACCCGCACGCCACGGAACUCGCCCCGUCACCUGCCUCCCCUACUUUGUUGAAUCACUGGUUCGCACCUCAGAUUGAUUGUUUCAAGCUGUAAUGGCUGGGCGGAACAACCUGAACCAAUCCUCUGCAACACUGCAAGGCGUCAGAUUGGAAGCCAGUGAUCUCGGCAUUGUGACAGCAUAACAGUGGUAUAAAUAAUAUUUUUUAUGAGGUCAUUUGAGCAUACCACUCAAAUAUGCCAUUGAUACGAUAACAGACCUUUGAAAUUGCCUGCGUCAAUCUCUUGUUUUGUCAUAAACAGCAGUAUGAGAUGUUUGAAUGUUGUUUUUCAGGGAAACAGUAUGUUGCCUGGCAUAUAUGAUGUGACUAAGUGAGUUCCAAUUCCUCAAAAUUGAUCCUCUUCAAAUAAAAAAUUUUAUGAGCUUAAUUACUCACUUUAGGAUUGCAGUUUUGCUUAGACAUGCAGGUCUUAAUAAUCUUACACAAGCAACUAGGUCAGCCAACAUAUGAUCGAUGUUCCUUAUUUCAAAGGAACACUUAUAUCAUGCUACACUUGCAUGAUCCUUAGGAGUGUGUAGUUGUACCAGUUAUCAAUCAGUAGUUGACAACGCACGCUGAUUACUAAUGUCAAACUUCUACCCUUUGUAUUUGGAGAAGAUCUGGAAACGGAGCAGGAACCAUGCCAUAACAUUUUCAAGCACCUAAUUAUUUUAAUUAGAAAUCCAUAAAACAGUCAGGACCUUUCGGUUACCUUCUGGUAACCUGCUCGACACAGUAUUGGUUUUGGUUUUAGCUUUGACUUUGCAGUCUGGUUUUAUUAGACAUUUCUUUGGUGAAAGUCAAGUUGACCUAAUUUUUAUUUCCUAUUCAACUCAUGAUUUUUCUAGCACACUAUGAUGUUUCGAUUUGCAACUAUUUGUCAAAACAAUGCAAUUCCUGCUUUACAUAUCGAGAAACAAUGCAAUUUCUGGUUGAAAAAUAUACCAUGGUGUAGUUAAUAACAUAUCUAAAAAUUGAAACUAUUUGCAGAAUAGCAAAUAUCUGCAUUGAAUAGCAGAAUUGAGUGUUUGUAGAAUUGUUCUUGACUGGCAAUUUACUAUUUGAGAAUAUUUGUGUAUUAGUACAUCAGGACUACACAUAUUUGAAUGAAGUUCAGUUCUAAAUCAUUAAGUGCAAUGGUACAUAAUCAUCCUAUGUCUUUCUAAGCUCGACAAGUUUUUCCAUGAUAAUCCUGAUCUGGUUUUGUUGGACUGAGCGUAGCAGAUCCUACAGCAACACUGCAGAACCCAACAUCGAAGGAACUGAGCAUUGGCAGGCUCAAGAUCAAGUUUCGACUUUUGGCUGGGACCAGAUCACCCACCCACGCUUAGUAGUACUGCACCAAGACCUGUUUGGCAUGGUACUGAUUUUAUUUGGAUCCUACAGUUGCUGCAAUCAAAGGUGGUAAAGAUAGAAAUGCUGAUUUUGAGCACUAUGCAAUAUUUCAGGUAUCACACAAAACAUUUAAUUGUUGCUGCCGUUAUGAUUUCCAUUAUUACAUAUUCUUGGUGUAAUAUUGAGAAAAAUACACACUGGUUUUGAAACCUUGGUUUUACAAUAAGACAAAAAAACAUUUGGACAGAAAUCUUGGUGUCUACCCUGGCCUUGUUUCUUGGGAAAAUAGGUCUUUUGUUCUGUUUGUGAAUUUGACUUCCUAAUUUUGUAUGGUAUAUAUUUGGUAGAUAACCUCUUUCAUUGAGCGUCAUAACAUCUGUAUGUGGUGGGCUUUAUUCAAGAGAGGGUAUGAAAUAGGGAACAAGUUUAAAAUGAUGCUGGCUUAAAGCUUCCUGCUGCCAGCCAUUCUUGGGUGUUCUUAAUUCAUCUCCACAAUAUAUAUUUUAGGUUAGCCAACUGGUGUUGCACAAAUGCUACCCUCUGUUGCAAUAGUCCCAAAAUUAAUACAUGAUCUGAAUCACUUUAUCUGCUCAACAAGGAACAGGGCAUUGCAUCUCAUACUUGGCAAAUGGAAGAUCUGAUCUAAAGUGUGGUUAUCCCAUUCUCAUAUCAUGCUGAGGCACUAGCAAGGAGAAUUGUUCUUAUAGCGUAAUAAAUUCUUGAUAUUUAAUUGGGAAGAUUAGAAUCAGUAUUUGGCAAGGGGAAAGAUCGGGCACUCACGUUCUGGUUACAUGCAUGUGUUCGGUAACAUGCUCAUGCAAUUAGAUGGGUACAGUUAAACGCGCAUGCAGAAGAUUAAAGGAAAUAGUGCAAUUAAUUGAACCCCACAAGUAGGUCCAAAUUAAAAUCUACAAUUGUAAUCGUUCUGGAAAAAAAGUAAUCGUACAUUGCAUUCUUUGUUGAAAUGGAUGGAGUACCCUUCUCUGUUAAUCGAGACAAAACUCUAACAAAUAAAAGGGUUUGUUUCGAAUUUGUAGUAGAUUUGUCUAGAUGAACAUGCUGAAUUACUGCAUUAUUGUAUUUGGGUACUUUGGUACUAUUGAGUCACAACUAGAAAGCUUAAUCCUUGUUCUUCUGUGUUCAAUGUGGCCGAACUUUGAAAGUGAUUACAAGUCUGAUUUGGUUCUUCUGAAUGUCAUUGUCGCACAGGGUAUAUGCACCUGUCUAUGACCAAUGUGUUUCUAUCAUCAAUGUCAGUAAAAUGAAAAGUAAUUUUAGGAGUAUGGUGUUAUCUACCUACAGCACUAACUGUUAUGUUGCUCUAAUUAUCCCAAAUACAUGGAUCUGUAUCUAUUCUAAAGUAGGAGAUGGCCUAGAGGUGAAACUGAACAAAGGAAGAGCACAUGUUUGACUAUCCCUUCCCAUGUGUUUUUUAUGGCAGAUAGAACUUACAUUAUAAAGUUGCAGUAAUAUGAAUAAAAGAUGUUUGAGGUGUGAAAAGCAGCCUUUCAUGGUGAGAAGCUAAUUAUCCCUGUGAUGUCUGGCUCUGAUGCUUGGCAAGAUUUCAAGCAUCAAUUGUGCUACCAUUGUGUACAAGUAUUUACCCCUCCAUAUUCACUGAUAAAAUAUUUUUUAUGCCAUAAUAAGUAUCGUGCAGCUAUAAAUAUUCAUUUUUGAUAAUAUUAAUGUCUUAUUUGUGAAUAUCGAUACAUGUGCAGGUGGGCUAACGGAGAAGAUUUUAGUGUACCCAAAGGCUGAGUGAGAAAUAUGGAUGGAUCUUGCUACAUUUUUAGAUCAUAUUUUAAAUUAUGGUGUUGCAUCAAUUAGACCAUAUUUUAAAUUCCUGUACCAAUCAAUAAUUAAUAAUGAAUUAAGACAAGUUCUUACGGUGGCUCUGAUAUAAUAUUUUUGUUGAACUAUUAUUGUUAA
Molecule: long non-coding RNA, 3937 nt
Organism: Panicum virgatum (switchgrass)
Lineage: Eukaryota; Viridiplantae; Streptophyta; Magnoliopsida; Poales; Poaceae
Exons: 3
Source: RefSeq, a predicted model, not a curated record